GACGAACGCUGGCGGCGUGCUUAACACAUGCAAGUCGAACGGAAAGGCCCUGCUUUUGUGGGGUGCUCGAGUGGCGAACGGGUGAGUAACAAGUGGGUAACCUGCCCUUGACUUUGGGAUAACUUCAGGAAACUGGGGCUAAUACCGGAUAGGAGCUCCUGCUGCAUGGUGGGGGUUGGAAAGUUUCGGCGGUUGGGGAUGGACUCGCGGCUUAUCAGCUUGUUGGUGGGGUAGUGGCUUACCAAGGCUUUGACGGGUAGCCGGCCUGAGAGGGUGACCGGCCACAUUGGGACUGAGAUACGGCCCAGACUCCUACGGGAGGCAGCAGUGGAGAAUAUUGCACAAUGGGCGGAAGCCUGAUGCAGCAACGCCGCGUGCGGGAUGACGGCCUUCGGGUUGUAAACCGCUUUCGCCUGUGACGAAGCGUGAGUGACGGUAAUGGGUAAAGAAGCACCGGCUAACUACGG
This 467-nucleotide ribosomal RNA is filed under the name uncultured bacterium. RNAcentral describes it as "partial 16S ribosomal RNA". It matches the Rfam family "Bacterial small subunit ribosomal RNA", at positions 28 to 506 of the family's 1533-position model. The record is from RNAcentral.